RNAcentral lists this small nuclear RNA (107 nucleotides) under Nannospalax galili (Upper Galilee mountains blind mole rat). The record is from RNAcentral. Lineage: Eukaryota; Metazoa; Chordata; Mammalia; Rodentia; Spalacidae.
GUGCUCACUUUGGUAGCACAUACACUAAAACUGGAACAAUACAGAGAAGAUUAGCAAGGCCCCUGUGCAAGGGCGAUGUGCAAAUUCAUGAAGUGUCCCAUAUUUUU